Non-coding RNA from Schistosoma curassoni, 45 nucleotides. Lineage: Eukaryota; Metazoa; Platyhelminthes; Trematoda; Strigeidida; Schistosomatidae. The record is from Rfam.
AUUCAGCUGACGAGUCCUAAACCGGGUGAAACGCGAGUCCUGAAC